This 275-nucleotide long non-coding RNA is filed under the name Lathyrus oleraceus (garden pea). RNAcentral describes it as "Pisum sativum (pea) long non-coding RNA (PSAT_LNC008489)". Lineage: Eukaryota; Viridiplantae; Streptophyta; Magnoliopsida; Fabales; Fabaceae. The record is from RNAcentral.
UCACAACUCAAUUUUAUUUUUCACUACUUUUCUUCCAAGCAAGCAUUCAUUUUCAUUUUUUUUCUUUUUCUUUUCACAUCGUAUUCACAAAACAGAUGUUUCUCUUUUCUAAUUUUUUUUUCAAUGCUUGCUCGGUUAUUCAAUAGUUGUGGCACCUACCGAUUCUCAUUUUCGUUCUCCCCAACUUAUCUUUUACUCACUCCAAGUGAAUGCUCUUGACUUUUUACGGCAAAAGAACAAUUAUAAAAAAUUUUAGGGUUUCAAGAAAAAAGAUU